Molecule: transfer RNA, 72 nt
Filed under: Loxodonta africana (African savanna elephant)
Lineage: Eukaryota; Metazoa; Chordata; Mammalia; Proboscidea; Elephantidae
Description: tRNA-Ala (AGC) (tRNA-Ala-AGC-7-1)
Rfam family: tRNA
About the family: Transfer RNA (tRNA) molecules are approximately 80 nucleotides in length. Their secondary structure includes four short double-helical elements and three loops (D, anti-codon, and T loops).
Source: Rfam by way of RNAcentral
GGGAGUGUAGCUCAGUGGUAGAGCGCGUGCUUAGCAUGCACGAGGCCCUGGGUUCAAUUCCCAGCACUUCCA